Brassica napus (rape) is the source of this 2997-nucleotide long non-coding RNA. RefSeq lists it as uncharacterized. The transcript has 3 exons. The record is from RefSeq and is a predicted model, not a curated record. NCBI's taxonomy places the organism in Eukaryota, Viridiplantae, Streptophyta, Magnoliopsida, Brassicales, Brassicaceae.
AUCAGAGACGUGUAUGAAAUCAGAAGCAUAAUAUUGAAAUAUGGACACAUACCUCUUCAUCAAUCAUCAGCAUCUCAAGGCCGAGAAGGAUGCCUCCUUUGGAAUUAUUGCGAGCUUUCCAGAAAUAGAUUAGCUUAAAAAGCAACUGGGAAUCUCCAUGUCCUGAUGAAACCUUACUGAAGAAAGUAGAGAAUGAACUUGGGUGGUGAUGACUGCCGUUUGAUUUGCCAUAAAGCUAGGAAUGGAUUUGAGGAUGUGAGCAAUAGAUUUUUGGCUUGAGGAGGCAUCGUUAUGAUUGAGUAAGAGGAGAGAUGUGGAGAGUUAGACGCCGAUUUGUUUGGAGGAGUAUUAAGUAGUUUUAAUUCUUCAUUAUAGCCGUCGCAGGCGCUAUACGGAUGAGAUAGGAAGACAGUGAGUUCUAGAAGGUCUUCUGUAGACGUCGUAACAAAAUUAGGUUGGAGUAAGAAGAUUGCAAAACAAAUGGGUCAUUAAAGCUAAAGGGCCUAUUACGCAGCACAGAUUCGUGGCCCAACAACUUAACAUUCAUGAUGACAUGGACAAAUGAUUGGUUGCGAAUUUUUUCGCUGAGUGGACAGCUUAAGAGGGCUUCAUAUUCUCCUUUUAAUAGAGAUUAGCUUAAUAAGCAACUGGGAAUCUCCAUGUCCUGAUGAAACCUUACUGAAGAAAGUAGAGAAUGAACUUGGAUGGUGAUGACUGCCGUUUGAUUUGCCAUAAAGCUAGGAAUUGAUUUGAGGAUGUGAGCAAUAGAUUUUUGGCUUGAGGAGGCAUCGUUAUGAUUGAGUAAGAGGAGAGAUGUGGAGAGUUAGACGCCGAUUUGUCUGGAGGAGUAUUAAGUAGCUUUAAUUCUUCAUUAUAGCCAUCGCAGGCGCUAUACGGAUGAGAUAGGAAGACAGUGAGUUCUAGAAGGUCUUCUGUAGACGUCGUAACAAAAUUAGGUUGGAGUAAGAAGAUUGCAAAACAAAUGGAUCAUUAAAGCUAAAGGGCCUAUUACGCAGCACAGAUUCGUGGCCCAACAACUUAACAUUCAUGAUGACAUGGACAAAUGAUUGGUUGCGAAUUUUUUUGCUGACGUGGACAGCUUAAGAGGGCUUCAUAUUCUCCUUUUAAUAGUGUAAGAUGGUCAACAAUGGCUACCCUAGCUCCUUUUCUCUGACUUGAAAUCUGGUGUUUUGCUAAGAUCAUAGUUGCGCGUCUUCUUCGCUUUUGGGAGGCGCCCGUAAUGUGAAGAAAGGAAGUGAGAUCAUGGGAGUGGACAUGGUACUCAUGGCUGAAAAGAUUGCCUAAACAUAUUCACAAGGAGCAACCAUAACUUCAGGCUAAAAUUAUCUAGAAGGAGAUAUUCAACCUGGAGCAAAUAGGACCUGCAUCGACUCUGUCUACUAUGUAGAGCUAGAACUAUGGCAGGAAAGUGUAGCACCAACCACCCACAUUUUGGUGUGAAUUCCAGGUAUUGAAUCUGUUUGAACGUUUGGUAGGAUUUACGCUUCACACACAGCGACAACAGUUUACUAUAUAUAAAUACGAGAAAACCAGAUAUGUUAUUUAGUAUACUUAGGUUAAAUGGAAGCAUAGCUAUAUCAUUCUCGAACAGUAGAUUAACUAUAAAUAACCCAGUGGAAACAUGCCAUCAGAUUGUUUAUUCGCAUGUAUAAUAUCAUUUAUCUCCUCAUAUUGGCAUCUUAGAUACCAAUUUACAUUUUGAUCUUGUUACAAUUUUUCAGAAAAAUAUAAACCUCUGAAAUCAUAACCCCUAGAAAUAAGGUCAUAACUUUGAAUAAAAAAAUAAAAAAAACAGAGUAAACCUGUGAUACAAAGAGGAAGUCCUUAGAGGUUAUGAUCUUAUAUAUAAAGGUAUUUUGCUUCAGUGAUACUCCCCAAAGUGAACCCACAAGGAUAUUUCAGUCAGUAGCUUUGAUUGUGCCGAGCAGUCUUUAUUUCAUCUAACGCCAAGGUUGUUUAGCAUGUCCAGAAGUUUCUCUUCGCAAGGAAAUGUGAAGAUAUUAACAAAUUAAAUAAUUUUCUUCCUUUGUGAUCGAGAAGGUUUGUGCUUUGGGAACUGUGUUGCAAUCUCUUGGGUAGAAAAACGUAUGGUGGAUUCUGAAACUGUUAAUGUUUGGUUAAUAUGUUAUCCAGUGGAUGACAGUGCGUAGUAUAUUUGGUUGGGCAGGUGAUAUUCAAAUCCUCUAACUUGCUGUUAAAUGAUGAUUUUCAGAAAAUGUCGGACCAUGGGCUGGCAAAUAGAAGGAUCUCAGAGAGACAAUACUCACGUCACAGCUGCAGUCCUUCUUGAGUUAAUUUUGCCAUUAGUUAUAGUGGUAUGUAUUUAGUUAGGUUUAUUAUGUUGUACAUAGUUUUAGAUGAUGAAAUGUUCCAAAACAAAAGAUGAUGAAUCGUUUAAUAGUUCUUCUUCUUCACAUUUAUUUUCGUUCAAAAUAUAUAAAUUGGAACACAUGGCUAUACAGCUCCUAAAUACGUGCAAACAUGCCAUCUUCUGUUAAAGACGGAUCUCUACAACUUUGGUAUUGUGCUCAACCAGAUCAUAACCCGCCGCCCGAACCAAUGAGAGAAACAAAAACUAAGGCUAUUGGAUUAGGUACGUAAAAGAGUAUACUUCUAAUUGUCAACGCUUCAGCAUGAUCGAUUAAUGGCUCCGCAAUAACUAUGCAGCUGCAAGAGCAUGGAUUUUUUUUAAAGAGCUUGGAGUUUGGCUAGACUUGCUGGUCUUUGUUUCAAAAAAGAACGCUAAAGAACGGCCCAAGAUGAAGGCUAUAGUGGAAAACUUAAUGACAUGAUCGGAGAAUCAGAGAGUGAGAUUGCUAGAUGGCCAUGAGUACGGAAAGUAGUGAGGUACUAAGCAAGCGAGCCACAUGACAUGUGAAGGGGUUGAGUUAUUGUUAUAGUACAAUUUUUGAGUUUUGAAGUUUUUUGCAUGUUCCAUACUACAUAUAUAUAUCAAUUAAAAUCAUUUUUGUUGUU